This 255-nucleotide ribosomal RNA is filed under the name uncultured bacterium. RNAcentral's name for it is "partial 16S ribosomal RNA". It matches the Rfam family "Bacterial small subunit ribosomal RNA", at positions 524 to 776 of the family's 1533-position model. The record is from RNAcentral.
UACGUAGGGUGCGAGCGUUGUCCGGAAUUAUUGGGCGUAAAGAGCUCGUAGGCGGUCUGUCGCGUCGGUCGUGAAAACUUGGGGCUUAACCCUGAGCUUGCGGUCGAUACGGGCAUGACUGGAGUUCGGUAGGGGAGACUGGAAUUCCUGGUGUAGCGGUGAAAUGCGCAGAUAUCAGGAGGAACACCGGUGGCGAAGGCGGGUCUCUGGGCCGAUACUGACGCUGAGGAGCGAAAGCGUGGGGGAGCGAACAGG